AAUAUGAAAGCUGCAUCUUUACUAGUUAGCUACCAUGCGUCAUUAUUUAUCAAAAGAUAUAUGCUGCUUAAACACAAAUACGUUUUAAAAUAUAUUUUAGGCAGUAGGGUUUUGGGUUUUUUUUUUGCAAGUUCUUUUGGUGAGUAAAUUUAGUGAUAAAUGAUUUUUUUUUCUUUUGAGACAGUUUGCUCUGUCGCCCAGGAUGGAGUGCAGUGCAGUGGCGCGAUCCUGCAACCUCCGCCUCUCGAGUUCAAGCGAUUCUCCUGCCUCAGCCUCCCGAGUAGCUGGGAUUACAGACGCGCGCCACCCCACCCAGAUGAUCUUUUUAAAUGCAAAAUGCCAUCGACGCAGAAAAUCAAAGGUAUCCAUUGUAUCUGUGCGUUUGAGUUCUAGGAUAUGACAAAGAAAAACAAUUUAAAUAUUACGUAAAUUCAGUAGGAAAAAGAAAGAUGAUGACUGAUAAGUACAUUGUGUACCUCCUUAAGCUGUGCUGUCCAGUAGGCUGUCCUCUAGCCAUAUGUGGCUACUCAGCACUUGAAAUGUGGUUGAGACGGAAAAACUGAAUCGUUAAUUGAAUUUGAAUUAAACAAAAACCAAAAACCUGAUGCUCGAUUCAAUUGUUGGAAUACUUUUAAGUGUGUUUGCAACAACUCAGAUAUAUGAAUCUGUUUUUCCAACUUAAAUUUUAUGAACUCUAACUUUAGCAUAUGAAUUGAGAUGUGCUGUAAGUAUAUAUCAGCUGGACUUUUUUUUUAUUUCUGGACUUACUACAAGAAAUUUUCAAAAAGAAUAUUGAAGUGCACAUUAAAAAUUUUUAUAUAUGUUUAAAUGUUUUGGAUGUAAUGGGUUAAACAAAAUAUUACAAUAAAUUGUACCUGUUGCAUUAGA
This 888-nucleotide long non-coding RNA is filed under the name Homo sapiens (human). RNAcentral describes it as "HSALNT0323504". Lineage: Eukaryota; Metazoa; Chordata; Mammalia; Primates; Hominidae. The record is from RNAcentral.